Molecule: unclassified non-coding RNA, 1501 nt
Filed under: Anthonomus grandis grandis
Lineage: Eukaryota; Metazoa; Arthropoda; Insecta; Coleoptera; Curculionidae
Description: uncharacterized LOC126742781
Source: RNAcentral
UGACAUAUGUCAUAUUGACCGGAUACGCGUCAGAGCAGUCAAACUUGGCCAUUUUCUUUUCUUAUUUUCUUUGAAUUUCGUCUUUGUUUAGAGCGUUUGGUCUCCGGUGCGGUGUCAUUUAAAAUCCAUUAUUGUGUUGAAAUUACCUUAAAAAGCCAAAUCAAAAUGCAGCGUGGCCGCUCUGACACGACCACCAAAGUGUUUGUUGGUAGCCUCCCGGCGGCAGCCACAACCGAUGAUCUUCGGAAGCUUUUCGAGCCCUACGGUAAUAUCGCCGAGUGCGAUAUUUCCAAUAAAUGCGGUUUCUUGCAUUUGGACGAUGCCGACCUGGCCAUGAAGGCGAUUAAUGAUCUGAAUGGUACAGAUUUUAUGGGGUCUCGCAUUUCCGUUGAAAAAGGACGCGUUAAAAUGAGACGUGGUGGAGGUGGCGGCGGCCCUAUGCGUCCGGGCGGCGGUAGAGACAGGGGAGGUGGCCCAUAUUCUAGAGGUGGUGGCAGAGACUUUGGUGGUGGACGAGGAGGCAGAGGUGGUUUCGGUGGCCGAGGAGGUGGUAGAGGUGGUUUUGGAGGCAGAGGUCGAGGAGGUGGUGGCUAUGAUGACAGAAGAGGAGGUGGUGGUGGUGGUGGUGGAUAUGGGCAAGACAGAGGAGGUUAUGACUCAUAUGGAGGUGGUGCCAGAGGAGGCUAUGAUGACAGAGGGGCAUAUGGAGAUGGACCCAGAGGUGGUGGUGGAGGUUAUGAAGAUAGAAGGGUAGCACCGCAUGUUAGGGUUCCAGAAGGAGGGGACCUUUACAGCAGACGUGACAUGGGGAAACCAAUGGGUGGCGGUGGAGGCGGAGGCUACGACAGAUACGGAGCUGCCGGCGGUGGCGGCUCUAACGGUUACGGCAGCGCUGCCGCCGGCGGUUACGGAGGUGCUGCCUCCGGUGGUUACGGAGGUGCCGCGUCUGGUGGUUACGGCGGUGCCGCCUCCGGUGGCUACGGAGGAGGUGCCGGUGGCGGAUAUGCGGCCCAAAGUGCCGGCGGCGGUUACGGAGGUGCCGCCAGCGGUGGCUACGGUGCAGGUUCAGCAGCCGGCGGUUACGCGGCUAACACCGGCGCGGGCGGAUAUGGCGGCAACGACGGAUAUGCUUCCGGUGGUGGAGCGGCUGGUGGAUAUGGAGACAGUAGUGGAUAUGGUAGCGCGGCUGGCGGAUACGGCGGAGGCGGUUACGACGACGGUUACGGCGGUGGCGGCGGCGCUGCCGCAGGCGGCUACGACUCUGCCUAUCCUCCAUUACCAGCACAAAGAGGGUUUCCUACUUGAGGCUUUGAAUAUGUGGGGGUGAGACAAAGAAAAUGUAUCGCUUAGGGAAUGGUUUGGUUUGCCGCUAGUGAAAAGCUUUUUUCAGAAACCAUGUUUACCAAUCAUCAGGGAACAAGCAAUCGGAUAAAUUACAGAUAAUUUUUAAAUUGAAAUUAUUGAUAUUAACCAGGUUACUAAAUAAAUGAAUUUUAACUUA